Molecule: ribosomal RNA, 520 nt
Filed under: uncultured bacterium
Lineage: Bacteria
Description: bacterial SSU rRNA
Rfam family: Bacterial small subunit ribosomal RNA
Source: RNAcentral
GGAGUCGAACGGACCGUAAGGCCGGUCGGUGGCCGUAGGUACUAAGGUCGAAGUCGAAGCGGUAACGGAGGUCGUUACGUAGGAGUAGGACGUUGAGAGUGGCGAACGGGUGAGUAACACGUAGGAAUCUACCCUUAAGACGGGGACAACCCAGGGAAACUUGGGCUAAUACCGGAUGAGAGUGCGAGAGAUUGCAUUUAAAAGGAUGGCGAAAGUUGUCGCUUAGGGAUGAGCCUGCGGUCUAUUAGUUAGUUGGUGAGGUAAGAGCUCACCAAGGCGAUGAUAGAUAGGCGGCCUUAACGGGUGGUCGCCCACACUGGGAUUGAGAUACGGCCCAGACUCCUACGGGAGGCAGCAGUCGAGAAUAGUCUACAAUGGCCGGAAGGCUGAUAGUGCGACGCCGCGUGAACGAGGGAGCCCUUCGGGGUGUAAAGUUCUUUUCUAUACGAGCAGUGCUAUAUAUAUGGAUAGUAUAUAUAGAGGGAUAGUAGUAUAGGAAUAAGCAACGGCUAACUCCGUG